GCGUUGGAGCAUGUGGUUUAAUUCAAUACAAAGCAAAGAACCUUACUAGAGCUUGACAUGCCGCGAAUCCUCUUGAAAGAGAGGGGUGCUCCCUUGGGAACGCAGACAUAGGUGAUGCAUGAUGGUCUCCAGCUCAUGCUGUAAGUUGUUGGGUUAAGUCACGGAACGAGUGCAACCUCGUAUAUAAUUGCCCCUGUUGAAUUCAAAACCCUAAAUAGACUGUCGAUGAUAAGCCGAAAGAAGGUGUGGAUGACAUCAAAUCAUCAUGCCCCUUAUGCCCUGAGUGACACACGUGCUACAAUGGACGUAACAAAACGUCGUAAUCCCGUGAGGAUGAGCUAGCUAACUCCAAAAGGUUGAGAGAUUAACGGCCAAAUUUAACUUUUUGUAAAAAUUUAAGAGC
This is a non-coding RNA of Gossypium raimondii (Peruvian cotton), 403 nucleotides long. The record is from Rfam. Lineage: Eukaryota; Viridiplantae; Streptophyta; Magnoliopsida; Malvales; Malvaceae.